GGCGAUAACUCAAUUGGUAGAGUGCUUGCUUUGCAUGCACAAGGCCCUGGGUUCAAUCCCCAGCACCA
Molecule: transfer RNA, 68 nt
Filed under: Ictidomys tridecemlineatus (thirteen-lined ground squirrel)
Lineage: Eukaryota; Metazoa; Chordata; Mammalia; Rodentia; Sciuridae
Description: Spermophilus tridecemlineatus (thirteen-lined ground squirrel) tRNA
Rfam family: tRNA
About the family: Transfer RNA (tRNA) molecules are approximately 80 nucleotides in length. Their secondary structure includes four short double-helical elements and three loops (D, anti-codon, and T loops).
Source: Rfam by way of RNAcentral